RNAcentral lists this ribosomal RNA (279 nucleotides) under uncultured bacterium. RNAcentral's name for it is "partial 16S ribosomal RNA". It matches the Rfam family "Bacterial small subunit ribosomal RNA", at positions 506 to 784 of the family's 1533-position model. The record is from RNAcentral.
UGCCAGCCGCCGCGGUAAUACAGAGGGUGCGAGCGUUAAUCGGAAUUACUGGGCGUAAAGCGUGCGUAGGUGGUUUGAUAAGUCAGGUGUGAAAUCCCAGAGCUCAACUUUGGAAUUGCGCUUGAGACUGUCAAGCUAGAGUGUUGUAGAGGGUAGCGGAAUUUCCGGUGUAGCGGUGAAAUGCGUAGAGAUCGGAAGGAACACCAGUGGCGAAGGCGGCUACCUGGACAGAUACUGACACUGAGGCACGAAAGCAUGGGUAGCGAACAGGAUUAGAUA